GUAGGUGGCAAGCGUUGUCCGGAAUUAUUGGGCGUAAAGCGCGCGCAGGCGGUUUUUUAAGUCUGAUGUGAAAGCCCACGGCUCAACCGUGGAGGGUCAUUGGAAACUGGAGAACUUGAGUGCAGAAGAGGAGAGUGGAAUUCCACGUGUAGCGGUGAAAUGCGUAGAGAUGUGGAGGAACACCAGUGGCGAAGGCGACUCUCUGGUCUGUAACUGACGCUGAGGCGCGAAAGCGUGGGGGGGAGCAAACAGGAUUAGAUACCCUGGUAGUCCACGCCGUAAACGAUGAGUGCUAAGUGUUAGAGGGUUUCCCGCCCUUUAGUGCUGCAGCAAACGCAUUAAGCACUCCGCCUGGGAGUACGGUCGCAAGACUG
Molecule: ribosomal RNA, 374 nt
Filed under: uncultured organism
Description: partial 16S ribosomal RNA
Rfam family: Bacterial small subunit ribosomal RNA
Source: RNAcentral